ACGCUCGACACCUACGGGAGACAGCAGUGGGGAAUAUUGGGCAAUGGAGGAAACUCUGACCCAGCAACGCCGCGUGAAUGAUGAAGGUCUUUGGAUUGUAAAGUUCUUUUCUAAGGGACGAAGAAAGUGACGGUACCUUAGGAAUAAGCCUCGGCUAACUACGUGCCAACAGCCGCGGUAAUCUGAGCGGGCUGGCAAGGC
Molecule: ribosomal RNA, 201 nt
Filed under: uncultured bacterium
Lineage: Bacteria
Description: partial 16S ribosomal RNA
Rfam family: Bacterial small subunit ribosomal RNA
Source: RNAcentral